AGCUCCAAUAGCGUAUAUUAAAGUUGUUGCGGUUAAAAAGCUCGUAGUUGGAUUUCUGUUGAGGACGGCCGGUCCGCACUUUGUGCGUGUAUCUGGUUCGGCCUUGGCAUCCUCUUGAAGAACGUAUCUGCGCUUGAUUGCGUGGUGCGGUAUUCAAGACUUUUACUUUGAGGAAAUUAGAGUGUUCACGGCAGGCUUUCGCCUUGAAUAUAUUAGCAUGGAAUAAUAAUAUAGGACCUUGGUUCUAUUUUGUUGGUUUCUAGAACUAGGGUAAUGAUUAAUAGGGAUAAUUGGGGGCACUUGUAUUAACACGUCAGA
Molecule: ribosomal RNA, 318 nt
Filed under: uncultured eukaryote
Lineage: Eukaryota
Description: SSU rRNA
Rfam family: Eukaryotic small subunit ribosomal RNA
Source: RNAcentral